AGGACGACAUACCGCAGAAGGUCCACCUCAACAGUUUUGGUUUCUAUGAAAACGGCUCUAUGAGCGUGAAGGUUAACAGCCUCUCAAUAAAAAGCAACACGGAUCUCUCCAAACUAGACAACAGCACGUUUGGAUUCAGCCUGGACAGGACAAAGAACGAUGGCUUUUCCACCUACCUGGAUCAGGAAGUGCGGGACUGCAUCCUGAAGCAUACGCCAGAGAGCGUUUCCGUAACGCUGCUGAAAC
Molecule: long non-coding RNA, 246 nt
Organism: Spea bombifrons (plains spadefoot toad)
Lineage: Eukaryota; Metazoa; Chordata; Amphibia; Anura; Pelobatidae
Exons: 3
Source: RefSeq, a predicted model, not a curated record